GGCCUCGUAGCUCAGCUGGUAGAGCAAUCGCGGUACUAAAGCGAGGGUGGUGACCGCGCAUGGGUUCGUAUCCCGCCGGGGCCA
Molecule: transfer RNA, 84 nt
Filed under: Fasciola gigantica
Lineage: Eukaryota; Metazoa; Platyhelminthes; Trematoda; Plagiorchiida; Fasciolidae
Rfam family: tRNA
About the family: Transfer RNA (tRNA) molecules are approximately 80 nucleotides in length. Their secondary structure includes four short double-helical elements and three loops (D, anti-codon, and T loops).
Source: Rfam by way of RNAcentral